UACGGAGGGUGCAAGCGUUAAUCGGAAUCACUAGGCGUAAAGCGCAGGUAGGAGGUUUGGUAAGUCUAUUGUGAAAGCUCCCGGCUUAACUGGGAGAGGUCAAUGGAAACUACCAGGCUAGAGUGCGGUAGAGGUAGCUGGAAUUCCCGGUGUAGCGGUGAAAUGCGUAGAUAUCGGGAGGAAUACCUAUGGCGAAGGCGGCUGCCUGGCCUGUUCUUGACGCUGAGGCGCGAAGGCUAGGGGAGCGAACGGG
RNAcentral lists this ribosomal RNA (253 nucleotides) under uncultured bacterium. RNAcentral's name for it is "partial 16S ribosomal RNA". It matches the Rfam family "Bacterial small subunit ribosomal RNA", at positions 524 to 776 of the family's 1533-position model. The record is from RNAcentral.